RNAcentral lists this ribosomal RNA (252 nucleotides) under uncultured bacterium. Its description in RNAcentral is "partial 16S ribosomal RNA". It matches the Rfam family "Bacterial small subunit ribosomal RNA", at positions 524 to 776 of the family's 1533-position model. The record is from RNAcentral.
UACGGGGGGGGCAAGCGUUGUUCGGAAUUACUGGGCGUAAAGGGCUCGUAGGCGGCCAACUAAGUCGGACGUGAAAUCCCUCGGCUUAACCGGGGAACUGCGUCCGAUACUGGAUGGCUUGAGUUCGGGAGAGGGAUGCGGAAUUCCAGGUGUAGCGGUGAAAUGCGUAGAUAUCUGGAGGAACACCGGUGGCGAAGGCGGCAUCCUGGACCGACACUGACGCUGAGGAGCGAAAGCCAGGGAGCAAACGGG